This 1743-nucleotide long non-coding RNA is filed under the name Mytilus galloprovincialis (Mediterranean mussel). The record is from RNAcentral. Lineage: Eukaryota; Metazoa; Mollusca; Bivalvia; Mytilida; Mytilidae.
AUAAUAAAUUCUUCAGUAAUUUCUGAAUUUACACCAAUAGAACUAUAGUAGUUAUGAAUAAACAAUGAUAAAAGGAUAUUUGAAAACCCCACAAAUAAGACAACCAAUGGACAUCUAGAGCACAAUGUAAUUGCUUUUUUUUUUUAUGUUUGACAAAAUAAUAAGGGUUGUAAAGUUUGAACAAAAAACAUAAACAGUAUACUUUGAAUAUGUGCCAACAUUGUGUUUCCCCUUUCUUGAUAAAUUCUGGCAUACAGGAACUUUUUGAGUACUCCCAAAAAUGAGUUAACAACCUGAUUGUAAUGCAGAUCAUGUGACAAUUUUUCUGCUUAGGUAGAAACCAUUUAACUUCAAGGGGGUAUUGUUAUUUGUCUCUGUCAGAAUUGUUUCCCCGCAAAGAGCAAAAUUCUUUUAAAAAAAAGUUUUUGAAGCUUUCAAUUUAAUUAAAUUUUCAAAUUUAACUAUAGUAUGAGGAAAAUCUGGAUUCAGAACGUUUUUUUUCGUCAUCUGCUUGACCACAAUAUUUUUUUUUUAUCAAAUUGGGUAUCAGAAUAUUUUGUUUAGGAAAAAAACAUAACUCCUCUUAUUUUUGAAAGUAAAAUGGUCUUUCCCUUCCUAGGGUCUGACAACAGUCUGGUUUCCUCUUUCUUUUGGGUUCCUCCAGUUUGAUUGUAAGGGUAAACAGUGACACCUUCAAAUAUGUGAGGCAGAAAUUUCAUUGGUGCAUCGAUAUUUACAAAACAGAUUGAUUGUGAUGUCAGAAGGGAAAUGCAUAAACAUGACCUGUAUUUAAUUAGACUAUAUAACUAGCCCAGCAGUGUCCAGCACUGAAGAAGAUGAAUCUUAAAAGGUAACCCCAUUUAAAUAAAUAACAAUAAUACACAAUAAAUAUUUAUCAUAUACACAUCAUUUAAAAAUACCAUUGAAUGUUCAUUACAAAAAUUACAAACAAAAUUACUACAUUACUGCAGUGUAUGUGAAUUUCACAAAUUCCCCUGGUCAAGGCACCCCUCCCUGAAGACAAAAAGUUGAUCUUAAAUUUUGGAGCAAAUCUUUACAUACAAAAGCUUAUAAUAUUUUUUUGAUGAUUUUUAACGUUUCAACUCUUAUGAUUGAUAAAAUAAAAGAGUUUUUUCCACUCUGUACUCAUUUGUCCCCCUCCCUUUUCACACAAUUUACAAAAUCAAUGUGAGCUGUCGUGUAGAUAAUAUCUCUCAGGGUAGAAAUGAAUGAGUUUCUAUUAUCCAAACAUUACAGAUAUUCGACAUCAAAGAAACACAGAAUGAUUUUCUAUUGUCAAAAUGAACCAACUGAGUCACCCACCACAUGAUAGAAAUCAAGCUUGAUAUAACCUCUGACAAAUAUCUGCAAUUCUUAUGUGACGUGCUUCUUUCGCUUUAUAAAUAAACCCAUGCUCUAAAUCCAAUAAAAGUUGUUUGCACAAGCGUAUAUAUUGAUUACUGCAGAAUAAUGAUUUUUUUUCAAAUUGGCAUGCAUUUAAAAUAUUUCAUGAACUUAAAACACUUCAAAACUCUUAAAUGAUGCACAUCUUGUUACUUAUUUAUUUAUCAUGACUGUAAUGUGUUGCAAUUCGAAAUUGACAAAUUUGACCUAGAUACGACAACUGUUCAUGAUGGCUGUUCAAAACUCAUCCCUAUGAAAAAUAGCAGGCAGUCGUUUGCUUGUUUACAAACAAAAAAGUGAGAUUCAUGGAAGAGCCUUCACAAACGGUCUACGCUUAUA